RNAcentral lists this ribosomal RNA (254 nucleotides) under uncultured bacterium. RNAcentral's name for it is "partial 16S ribosomal RNA". It matches the Rfam family "Bacterial small subunit ribosomal RNA", at positions 524 to 776 of the family's 1533-position model. The record is from RNAcentral.
UACAGAGGGUGCGAGCGUUGUUCGGAAUUACUGGGCGUAAAGCGCGCGCAGGCGGCUUCUUAAGUCUGACGGUGAAAUGCCGGGGCUCAACCCCGUGCCCGCCGCGGAUACUGGGGAGCUGGAGACGAGUAGAGGCAAGCGGAAUUCCGGGUGUAGCGGUGGAAUGCGUAGAGAUCCGGAAGAACACCGGAGGCGAAGGCGGCUUGCUGGGCUCGGUCUGACGCUGAGGCGCGAAAGCGUGGGGAGCGAACAGG